ACUCCUACGGGAGGCAGCAGUGGGGAAUAUUGCACAAUGGGCGAAAGCCUGAUGCAGCAACGCCGCGUGAACGAUGAAGGCCUCGGUUGUAAGUUCUUUUCUUGGUAGAAGAAUCCAUGACGGUAUCCAAGGAAUAAGCCCCGGCUAACUACGUGCCAGCAGCCGCGGUAAUACGUAGGGGCGAAGCGUUAUCCGGAAUCACUGGGCGUAAAGGGAGUGUAGGCGGUCAAGCAAGUCAGAGGUGAAAGGCAUCGGCUCAACCGAUGUAAGCCUUUGAAACUGUUUGACUUGAGUGCAGGAGAGGUAAGUGGAAUUCCUAGUGUAGCGGUGAAAUGCGUAGAUAUUAGGAGGAACACCAGUGGCGAAGGCGACUUACUGGACUGUAACUGACGCUGAGGCUCGAAAGCGUGGGGAGCGAACAGGAUUAGAUACCCUGGUAGGAUAGCG
RNAcentral lists this ribosomal RNA (447 nucleotides) under uncultured bacterium. Its description in RNAcentral is "bacterial SSU rRNA". It matches the Rfam family "Bacterial small subunit ribosomal RNA", at positions 335 to 799 of the family's 1533-position model. The record is from RNAcentral.